CCUACGGUGUGCUGCAGUGGGGAAUAUUGGACAAUGGGCGAAAGCCUGAUCCAGCCAUGCCGCGUGUGUGAAGAAGGCCUUCGGGUUGUAAAGCACUUUCAGUGGGGAAGAAAGCCUUGGGGCUAAUACCCUCGAGGAAGGACAUCACCCACAGAAGAAGCACCGGCUAACUCCGUGCCAGCAGCCGCGGUAAUACGGAGGGUGCGAGCGUUAAUCGGAAUUACUGGGCGUAAAGCGCGCGUAGGCGGUCUGAUAAGCCGGUUGUGAAAGCCCCGGGCUCAACCUGGGAACGGCAUCCGGAACUGUCAGGCUAGAGUGCAGGAGAGGAAGGUAGAAUUCCCGGUGUAGCGGUGAAAUGCGUAGAGAUCGGGAGGAAUACCAGUGGCGAAGGCGGCCUUCUGGACUGACACUGACGCUGAGGUGCGAAAGCGUGGGUAGCAAACAGGAUUAGAUACCCCAGUAGUC
This 465-nucleotide ribosomal RNA is filed under the name Vreelandella stevensii. Its description in RNAcentral is "partial 16S ribosomal RNA". It matches the Rfam family "Bacterial small subunit ribosomal RNA", at positions 338 to 795 of the family's 1533-position model. The record is from RNAcentral. Lineage: Bacteria; Pseudomonadati; Pseudomonadota; Gammaproteobacteria; Oceanospirillales; Halomonadaceae.